GUGGGGAAUCUUAGACAAUGGGGGAAACCCUGAUCUAGCCAUGCCGCGUGAGCGAUGAAGGCCUUAGGGUUGUAAAGCUCUUUCAGAUGGGAAGAUAAUGACGGUACCAUCAGAAGAAGCCCCGGCUAACUCCGUGCCAGCAGCCGCGGUAAUACGGAGGGGGCUAGCGUUGUUCGGAAUUACUGGGCGUAAAGCGCACGUAGGCGGACCAGAAAGUCAGAGGUGAAAUCCCAGGGCUCAACCUUGGAACUGCCUUUGAAACUCCUGGUCUUGAGGUCGAGAGAGGUGAGUGGAAUUCCGAGUGUAGAGGUGAAAUUCGUAGAUAUUCGGAGGAACACCAGUGGCGAAGGCGGCUCACUGGCUCGAUACUGACGCUGAGGUGCGAAAGCGUGGGGAGCAAACAGGAUUAGAUACCCUAGUAGUCC
Molecule: ribosomal RNA, 425 nt
Filed under: uncultured bacterium
Lineage: Bacteria
Description: bacterial SSU rRNA
Rfam family: Bacterial small subunit ribosomal RNA
Source: RNAcentral